CUGGUGUCAGCCGCCGCGGUAAUACCAGCACCCCGAGUGGUCGGGACGAUUAUUGGGCCUAAAGCAUCCGUAGCCGGUCUUGCAAGUCUUCCGUUAAAUCCACCUGCUUAACAGAUGGGCUGCGGAAGAUACUACAAGACUAGGAGGCGGGAGAGGCAAGCGGUACUCAGUGGGUAGGGGUAAAAUCCUCUGAUCCAUUGAAGACCACCAGUGGCGAAGGCGGCUUGCCAGAACGCGCUCGACGGUGAGGGAUGAAAGCUGGGGGAGCAAACCGGAUUAGAUACCCGGGUAGUCCCAGCUGUAAACGAUGCAGACUCGGUGAUGGGCCGGCUUCAUGCCGGCUCAGUGCCGCAGGGAAGCCGUUAAGUCUGCCGCCUGGGGAGUACGGUCGCAAGACUGAAACUUAACG
RNAcentral lists this ribosomal RNA (409 nucleotides) under uncultured Nitrososphaerota archaeon. RNAcentral's name for it is "bacterial SSU rRNA". It matches the Rfam family "Archaeal small subunit ribosomal RNA", at positions 452 to 861 of the family's 1478-position model. The record is from RNAcentral. Lineage: Archaea; Thermoproteati; Nitrososphaerota.